CAAGUACCAACACUACGUCGUUUCACAGCACUAAAUUAGAACAACGACUAAACAUUAGCUCACUUCCCACUACCACCUGUAAAUUCAACUCCGAAAAUUCUCAUCGGAGACGCAUAGUAAUAUUUUGUUCUAGGGUUUGCUAAUCACUUUGUCAUCGCCGGCCAUGGCGUUACAAACCGGAAUAGGCUUAGGCAGAAUCAUCUUCAUUGUCGGUGCUGGGUAUACUGGUACUGUGCUGUUCCAAAACGGUAAAUUAUCUGAUGUAUUAGGCGAGCUUCAGAACUUGAUAAAAAAUUAU
Non-coding RNA from Nicotiana tabacum (common tobacco), 298 nucleotides. The record is from RefSeq and is a predicted model, not a curated record. Lineage: Eukaryota; Viridiplantae; Streptophyta; Magnoliopsida; Solanales; Solanaceae.